GAUGAACGCUGGCGGCGUGCUUAACACAUGCCAGUCGAACGGAAAGGCUCCUGCUUGCAGGGGUACUCGAGUGGCGAACGGGUGAGUAACACGUGGGUGAUCUGCCCUGCACUUCGGGAUAAGCCUGGGAAACUGGGUCUAAUACCGGAUAGGACGAUGGUUUGGAUGCCAUUGUGGAAAGUUUUUCGGUGUGGGAUGAGCUCGCGGCCUAUCAGCUUGUUGGUGGGGUAAUGGCCUACCAAGGCGUCGACGGGUAGCCGGCCUGAGAGGGUGUACGGCCACAUUGGGACUGAGAUACGGCCCAGACUCCUACGGGAGGCAGCAGUGGGGAAUAUUGCACAAUGGGCGCAAGCCUGAUGCAGCAACGCCGCGUGGGGGAUGACGGCCUUCGGGUUGUAAACUCCUUUCGCUAGGGACGAAGCGCAAGUGACGGUACCUGGAGAAGAAGCACCGGCUAACUACGUG
RNAcentral lists this ribosomal RNA (465 nucleotides) under uncultured bacterium. Its description in RNAcentral is "partial 16S ribosomal RNA". It matches the Rfam family "Bacterial small subunit ribosomal RNA", at positions 28 to 507 of the family's 1533-position model. The record is from RNAcentral.